This 74-nucleotide transfer RNA is filed under the name Pyropia perforata. RNAcentral's name for it is "tRNA-Arg". It matches the Rfam family "tRNA". Rfam says of the family: Transfer RNA (tRNA) molecules are approximately 80 nucleotides in length. Their secondary structure includes four short double-helical elements and three loops (D, anti-codon, and T loops). Lineage: Eukaryota; Rhodophyta; Bangiophyceae; Bangiales; Bangiaceae. The record is from RNAcentral.
GCGUUUGUAGCUUAACCGGAUAGAGCAUUAAACUACGAAUUUAAAGGUUGGAAGUUCGAAUCUUUCCAGACGCG